GGCAUUAAAUCAUUAUUCUUUUAAAAAAUAAAAAAAUUCAAAAAGUAGUGGGGGACCACCUUGCUACAUAGGCAAAGUGGUGAAAAGUUGUAUCUUUAGGUGGCAGUAAAUCAUUAUUCUUCUUUUUCCUUAAUAAGCUGAAACCCUAGAUUUUUUUUCCAGAAUAAUCCCUGAUUUUUCUCUUCUUCUAUAAAUGGGGUGUAGUAACUAGGAAAUCUGAUUGAAGAAGAAUUUCAGUCAGUUGUGGAGGCCCGGCUCCUCGAAGCAUUCAACUCUUCUCUCUCUCUGCUUUUGUUUUGUCCUCUUAAUUUAGCUACGCGCUCUUACCAAUUACGACACGAUCCAACCCAACCAUUAAUUGCCAGUCUGCCACACUCGAAUUAAUUAAUAUCUCCACUUCGUAUAAAAAGACAUGAUAAACAUGAGAUGGAUACUCUCUUUCUCAGUCACCGCUCUCCUCUUAUUCUCUCACCUUCUUCCAAGUUCAGCUCUUGAAAGCGCUUUGAAUCCCCUCAUGAGUAGAGUUCCCGGCCAGCAUCUGCAACAAGAGAGAUCACAACUGGCAGGCAGUUCAUUUUACAAUCGGAAGCUUGGAGUUCACAUCAAAAAGAGGAUUCCCUCGGUUCCGAGAGUCGGAACACGUGGUGCUGGUGGCAGAAAAUCUUCAGCUAUUCGAAGUCGGAUAUCUUCCUUCAAUGUUGCCUCUGUUAUUUGCGUUUCCCUUGGUUUCUUCAUGCUCUAGUUUGUGCGUGCGUGGGUGGCGGAGUAUGUUAGUUCAUCUUCAAACAUCUUUAAGAUCGAUCUUAUCUCCAACACGUCAAAUUGUGUUACAAUCCUAAGUGCUUCAUAUAGUUUAAAUACAUUCUUAAAUAUAUAAGUUCUACAUUUGUAUCAUAUUCUUGCCUUAACCUUUUUUAUUUUUUAUUUUUUUAGUUUUUUUUUUUAAUAUUGUUGCUUAAAUGGGUGUGACAGCAUAUUGUAUUUGCCAUUCGUAAAUAUUAUUGAUAAAUUCCAUUGGUUUUGUAUUAUAGAUCUAAAUUUCAGUCCAA
Molecule: long non-coding RNA, 1049 nt
Organism: Alnus glutinosa
Lineage: Eukaryota; Viridiplantae; Streptophyta; Magnoliopsida; Fagales; Betulaceae
Exons: 2
Source: RefSeq, a predicted model, not a curated record